CCUACGGGUGGCAGCAGUGAGGAAUAUUGGUCAAUGGGCGCGAGCCUGAACCAGCCAAGUAGCGUGAGGGAAGACUGCCCUACGGGUUGUAAACCUCUUUUGUCAGGGAAUAAAGUGAGGCACGUGUCCCUUUUUGUAUGUACUUUCUGAAUAAGGAUCGGCUAACUCCGUGCCAGCAGCCGCGGUAAUUCGGAGGAUCCGAGCGUUAUUCGGAUUUAUUGGGUUUAAAGGGAGCGUAGAUGGGUUGGUAAGUCAGUUGUGAAAGUUUGCGGAUCAACCGUAAAAUUGCAAUUGAUACUGGCAGUCUUGAGGGCAGGUGAGGUAGGCGGAAUGCGUGGUGUAGCGGUGAAAUGCUUAGAUAUCACGAAGAACACCGAUUGCGAAGGCAGCUUACUAAACUGCAACUGACGUUGAUGCUCGAAAGUGUGGGUAUCAAACAGGAUUAGAUACCCGGGUAGUC
This 460-nucleotide ribosomal RNA is filed under the name uncultured bacterium. Its description in RNAcentral is "partial 16S ribosomal RNA". It matches the Rfam family "Bacterial small subunit ribosomal RNA", at positions 338 to 795 of the family's 1533-position model. The record is from RNAcentral.